UAGUCCACGCCCUAAACGAUGUCAACUAGACGUUGGGCUUAUUAAUAAGCUUAGUGUCGAAGCUAACGCGUUAAGUUGACCGCCUGGGGAGUACGGCCGCAAGGUUGAAACUCAAAGGAAUUGACGGGGGCUCACACAAGCGGUGGAGCAUGUUGUUUAAUUCGAUGCAACGCGAAGAACCUUACCUGGGCUUGACAUGUGCGUGGUACCAAUCCGAAAGGGGCGGGACCCUCUCUGAGGGAGCGUACACAGGUAUUGCAUGACUGUCGUCAGCUCGUGUCGUGAGAUGUUGGGUUAAGUCCCGUAACGAGCGCAACCCUUGUCCUUAGUUGCCAGCGGUUCGGCCGGGGACUUUAAGGAGACUGCCGGUGUUAAACCGGAGGAAGGCGGGGACGACGUCAAGUCAUCAUGGUCCUUACGUCCAGGGCGACAAACGUGCUACAAUGGCCGGUACAAUGGGCAGCAAAACCGCGAGGUCGAGCAAAUCUCAAAAGCCGGCCCAAGUUCGGAUUGGAGGCUGCAAUUCGCCUCCA
Molecule: ribosomal RNA, 533 nt
Filed under: uncultured bacterium
Lineage: Bacteria
Description: bacterial SSU rRNA
Rfam family: Bacterial small subunit ribosomal RNA
Source: RNAcentral